CAGCAGCCGCGGGAAUACGAAGGUCCCGAGCGUUGUUCGGAAUCACUGGGCGUAAAGGGAGCGUAGGCGGCGUGGUAAGUCAGAUGUGAAAUCCCGGGGCUCAACCCCGGAACUGCAUCCGAUACUGCCAUGCUAGAGGAUUGGAGAGGUAGCUGGAAUUCUUGGUGUAGCAGUGAAAUGCGUGGAGAUCAAGAGGAACACUCGUGGCGAAAGCGAGCUACUGGACAAUAACUGACGCUGAGGCUCGAAGGCCAGGGUAGCGAAAGGGAUUAGAUACCCGAGUAGUCCCUGUCUCUUAUAC
Molecule: ribosomal RNA, 301 nt
Filed under: uncultured bacterium
Lineage: Bacteria
Description: partial 16S ribosomal RNA
Rfam family: Bacterial small subunit ribosomal RNA
Source: RNAcentral